Molecule: long non-coding RNA, 1540 nt
Filed under: Panax ginseng (ginseng)
Lineage: Eukaryota; Viridiplantae; Streptophyta; Magnoliopsida; Apiales; Araliaceae
Description: long non-coding RNA (PGIN_LNC008334)
Source: RNAcentral
UAAAAAUAUAUAAUACUAAUUAACAAAAAUAUACAACAAAAAAAAUACUAAAAAAAAUAAAAAUACUAAAUACUAAUUAAAUACUAAUAAAAAAAAUACUAAAUACUAAAAAAAUACUAAUACUAAUAAAAUACUAAAUCAAAACAAAAAAACUAAAAUAUUAAAAAAACUAAAAGUAAAAUAAAAAACUAAAAUUCAACAAAAACUAAAAUUGAACAAAAGGAACAACAACAAAAACUAAAAUUCAACAAAAAACCAAAAUUCAACAAAAGGAGCAGCAGCAGCAGCCCCCAAUUCGUUCCAUCCUCCCUACCCCCAAUUCGUUCCUCCUUCUUCUCUCCUCUCGAAAUCGUCUCAGCAACAACAAAAGGAGCAGCAGCAGCCAUGGCCACCGAUCAAAACCCAUUCUAUUUUCUCUAUCUAAACCCAUUCUUUUUUCUAUACUAAAUCAGUCAUCUAAACCCAUUCUAUUACUAAAAUACGAUAUCAAAUCUUCUUCCUCAUGCAGUCGUUCGGCGAUGGUCUUCUCUAAACCCAUUCAAAUCUUCUUUUUCAUAUCAGUCAUCAGAUCUAUUUUCUCUCUCUUUAAGGUUUUCUCUAGCAGUCGUUGGAUUUGGUUUGUUUUGGAUCUGGUCUGGGGUUUGCUGUGUCUGAUUUGGGGAUGGGUUUAUAUGUUUUGCUAAGCUUAUUUUUUUCUCAGAUCUUGACUUGAUUUCGCCGGAAUCUGGGUUUAUUUUUAUAUUUGUUUCGGUUGAUUAAUGUUUUAAUUUCCUAUCAACUGAUGCUUUUUUGUUCAUUGAUUUUAUGUUGGUUCGGAUGGUUCUUGGACAAAAGUGUUUUCCUUUAAUUGAGUUUUGGUGCCUAUGGAGGCUUGGAUGGACUGCUCUGCUGUUACAGGGCUCGGUUUUAUCUUCAACCUUUUGGGUUUUCUGGGUUUGAUUUGAGGAGCACGAUUGUUCUAAAAAGGAAUGAUUUUGAUGUGGGUAUGAAGUGUUGGUGAUGUUAUUUUCUUGCUCUUUGCUACAACUGCUUGGAUUAUUGGUUCCAUGAAUUUUUAUUUGGUGGCGGACGGCGGUGAUGGGUGGUGGAAGAGAAUAUUGGGGAUAGUUAUUAAUAAAUAUUGGGGAUAGUUAUCAAAUAUAUAUAAAAUAUUAUUUUUAUACACAUCAGAUGGUAUAAUAAUAUUUUUUGUUUUAAUUAUUUGACACGUCAGCAAAAUAUGUCUAACUGUCAAUUCUGUUUGUCUAGUUGGCACGUCUGUCAAUGGCAGGGACACAAAUGACCCAAAAAAUAUAAUGUUAAGGGUAUUUUUGGACUAAAAAAAAGUAUAGAAUGUUCGGUGGACAUUGAGAAAAAUAUCUAUUUUUGGACCUUAUCCCUAUUUAAUUAUGCGACGUUUUCAGGCUAUCUAAUGCAACAGCGUGUUCCUAUAAUAGUAAUACAGGCAAUCAAACACAUGGAAUAAUAGUAAUACAGGCAUGUUCCUAUACUUGAGCAUAGUGGAUAGACUCACGUUUGUGGUUUCAGACGUCAAUAGNNN